RNAcentral lists this ribosomal RNA (532 nucleotides) under uncultured archaeon. Its description in RNAcentral is "bacterial SSU rRNA". It matches the Rfam family "Archaeal small subunit ribosomal RNA", at positions 325 to 859 of the family's 1478-position model. The record is from RNAcentral.
ACGGGGUGCAGCAGGCGCGAAAACUUCACACUGCAGGAAACUGUGAUGAGGGAACUCCAAGUGCAUGCACAAUGUGUAUGCUUUUCUUGAAUCUUAAUAGUUCUUGGAAUAAGGGCUGGGAAAGACCGGUGCCAGCCGCCGCGGUAAUACCGGCAGCUCAAGUGGUCGUCGUUCUUAUUGGGCCUAAAACGUCCGUAGCCUGUUUGGUAAAUCUAUGGGUAAAUCAACGAGCUUAACUCGUUGAAUUCUGCAGAGACUGCCAGACUAGGGACCGGGAGAGGUAUGAGGUACUCUGGGGGUAGGGGUAAAAUCCUGUCAUCCUCAGAGGACCACCUGUUGCGAAGGCGUCAUACUGGAACGGAUCCGACGGUCAGGGACGAAGCCUAGGGGCACGAACCGGAUUAGAUACCCGGGUAGUCCUAGGUGUAAACGCUGUGGAUUUGGUGUGUGGGGUCCGUCAAGGGCCCCAUGUGCCGGAGUGAAGAUGUUAAAUCCACUGCCUGGGGAGUACGGUCGCAAGGCUGAAACUUAA